This 371-nucleotide ribosomal RNA is filed under the name Kelleromyxa fimicola. RNAcentral describes it as "SSU rRNA". It matches the Rfam family "Bacterial small subunit ribosomal RNA", at positions 570 to 930 of the family's 1533-position model. The record is from RNAcentral. Lineage: Eukaryota; Evosea; Eumycetozoa; Liceales; Liceaceae.
CGUAGGUGGAUAAGCAAAAAUAUAGUAAAAAACUGAGGCAAACCCUCUUUUAUCUUUAUUGACUACUUAUUUGAGUUUUAAGGGCGAUAUAUUGAAUUCUUGUAGUAAGGGUGAAAUUGUUGAUAGUGGAAGACGUUCAAAGGCGAAAGCGAUUAUCGACUUAAAUCUGACACUAGGUACUAAAGUAUGGGUAUAAAGAGGAUUAGAGACCUUGUAGUCCAUACCUUAAACAAUGAGUAUUAACGUCCUUAAACAAGCAAAAUACUUUUUUUGUAGGAGUUUAAAGGGGGUUUAAAGCUAACGCGUGAAAUACCGCCUGGGGAAUGUGGCGCAAGGUCUAAACUAAAGGAAUUGACGGAGGUUGUACAAGG